Molecule: long non-coding RNA, 415 nt
Filed under: Bos taurus (domestic cattle)
Lineage: Eukaryota; Metazoa; Chordata; Mammalia; Artiodactyla; Bovidae
Description: long non-coding RNA NONBTAT019557
Source: RNAcentral
CAUUUCUGGAAAAGGUGUCAUGUGGUUGUUCUUAUAGCACUUGCAUAGGUUGACAACUCAUUUGAUUAAUGAGGCCAGAGCUGCAUUUUCAUCCCGGGUGCUCUAAUUCAUUUACCUGUUCUUUGUAGAGUACCUGUUUCAUUCCGUGCACUGUGCAGGAUUUGAGAGAGAGACAGUAAUGAGACAAAUAAAAGCUAUUGUCUGAAAUAGGUUUUUGUGGCAUGCUCUUCACUGCUAUUUAAAAACAGCUCAAGUAUAGUGUUAAAUAUUGAAGAUUGUGUAUUUAUGUAAAAAUGGGCUGUACUGUUAUUAAAUACAUGCUCAAAUAGAUUGUUUUAGAUUGGAAAUACUACUCAGUUAUCUAAAAUAAUACAUAAUUAUUUGACUUCUGUUUUCCAGUUUCUGCCUCUGGUUU